This is an RNA transcript of Olea europaea var. sylvestris, 2065 nucleotides long. RefSeq lists it as uncharacterized. The record is from RefSeq and is a predicted model, not a curated record. The transcript has 18 exons. Lineage: Eukaryota; Viridiplantae; Streptophyta; Magnoliopsida; Lamiales; Oleaceae.
GAGGAUGGUGUAUUCAUUGUUCAUUUGUGCACCCUCCUUUUCACACCUAUCCAAAUCUACUGCUCAUGAACCAGUUUGGCUUCAAAGACGUACAAAAAACAGUCAUUUCAUUUGUUGGAUAUUCGUUUCUCUGCGACUCUACCGCUCCACCCUAAUUGCUCUUUUUCUUUCGCGAUCGAACAAAGAAAUUCGAAAUAAUCUAAAGCAAUUGAUACAUAUACCUCUAAGGCCGAUGGAAUUAUGGGUCAGGGAGAGCAAAACCCAAUUGUAGUUUUGGAGGCGAAGUUAAAGGAACUGGAUACUAUUUUGGACGGUUUAGGAUUUAAAGGAAGCGAAGAUAAAGAAGCCAAGGAAAUGCAAAGAAGUUGAAAACAAGAAGACAACGAAGAAAGACUAUAAAAAAGCUAGAGAGGAAGAAGCUCCAGCUGGUUAUAUUCAUGUAAGAGUAAGGAGGGGCCAGGCAACAGAUAGUCCCAGCGUUGCAGAAAGGCGAGGAGGGAAAGAAUAAGUGAAAGAAUGAAGCUUCUCCAUGAUCAUGUUCCUGGUUGUGACAAGGUAACUGCGAAGGCCCUUAUGUUGGAUGAAAUAAUCAACCAUGUCCAGUCCUUGCAAAAUCAAGUCAAGUUUAUCUCGAUGAAACUCGCUUCGAAUAAUCCCAUGUUGUAUGACUUCGGAACGGAUUUUAGAACCAUUCAUGGUUAGACCUGAUUAGAAUUUAUGCAGCCCUACAGAGACACCAGCAAAUGACUAUCCUCUAUUGGACUCUUUUAAUAUGCUGUUGUUUGAACAUGACCAAAUGCUUAUUAUUUUCUCGCGAAGAAUGGAUAGUUUUUUUUUUUGGGAGUGGAAGAACUAAGACAAAAAGAUAUCAAUCACACAGGAAUCAGCUAUAAUUUGUGUUCAUAAAUUUAUCUGUCAUUGAAAUGGUGCAAAUAUGGAAGAGAUGGGUGAUUAUCUUCUUGAGAAAACGGCUCUCAGUGACGAUGAAGAAAGUGGUGUACUUUAUUUUUGAGGGUUUUAAUUAUAAAGUAGAUAUGUACAUAAGAAAUUCAAUCAUCAGUAUAAGGCUACAAUUGGAGCUGAUUUUGUCACCAAGGAGCUUCAAAUUGAUGUCUGACUCGUUACUCUUCAAAUAUAGGACACUGCUGGACACGAGAGAUUUCAAAGUCUCGGGGUCACAUUUUAUAAAGGAGCAGAUUGUUGUGUUUGGUGUACGAUAUUAAUGUAAUGAGGUCUUUUGAUACCCUAGACAAUUGGCAUGAAGAGUCUCUCAUAGAGGAAAAGCAAUGGCUUCUCCAGGGGAACUUCAAUUUAUAGAGGAGUUACAAGUAGACAUCAUCAACACGGAUGUUGGCAAGCUCAAUUGGCGAAGCUGCAGGAAACAAGGACCUCUAUUAAGGGACAUUUAGUACUCAAGAAGAAGCUGCUGAGGCGUAUGAUGUAGCAGCUAAAAAAUUUCAGGAGAUAGAUGCAGUAACCAACUUUGGAAUCUCAAGAUAUGAUGUAGAUCGGAUUAUGGCAAGCAGUUCCCUUCUUUCAAAGGAAAUGGCUAAACAAAACAAGGACAUGGAUUCAAGUAACAAGAUCUUUGAUAACAAUCCCUCGAACUAUAACCAUCAUUUGAAAGUUGCAAAUGCCUCAAAGGAGGACAAUAGCAAUGUGCCUAACUGGAAAAUGGCACUCUAUCAUAAAACUGGUGGAGUUGAUGACUUUAGAAAUGGAUCUUACUAUAUUGGUGUAAAUGGCAUGAUUGGGAUCGAGGCAAUGAACUAAACUGAGAAUAAUGUGGAUGAAUAGGGAAAAAUGGCGAGUCACUUUUCAAGUGCUUCUUCACUGGUGAAUGACUUGAGAGAAGGCAGCAGGAUAAAAGCAUUGAGGGAGAGGAUCAUCUUAUGAUCGCUAUAGUAGUUACAGCAGUGGAGGCUAUCGUGGUGGAUUUUCAAGGUAUUCUGACUAUAGAGACUUAAGGAUCACAUGCGUCAAGCCAGGGAUGUUUUCUUUUCUCAAGUUUGCCGCGAUCGAGAUGCUUGGAAGCCUCUUGUGCAUGGGUAGAGAAGAGAGGACU